CACCCACAAUGAAGGAACUGGUAAAGCAAAGUAAUAACGCAAAGACCAUCACCGAGGGCUUUUGUCUACCUUUAACUCAUUGUGGAACUUGACAUCAUCAGACAGUAAAUCAAGAGGUACUGACAACUGAUGCUGAAUGAUAGUCCCUGCCUAGGAUUUGGAAUCUUUGCAUGAAGCAGGACUCUAGCCACCAACGACAAAGAAGUCAGCGAGACUGUUGUCUCUAGGAAACGCUUCCAGGAAACAGGAAUGCAGGCAAAGUUGGACAUCCCAAAGAUGGCGUAGAUGAACAUGACCAGGAAAAGCAAGAGGCCGAUGUUAAACAAUGCAGGAAGGGACAUCAUCAAAGCAAAGAGCAGUGUGCGGAUCCCUUUUGCUCCUUUGACUAGACGUAAGAUUCGGCCAAUCCUGGCAAGACGGAUCACUCGGAACAGGGUAGGGGACACAAAAUAUGUUUCAAUCAAAUCAGCUAGAAACAUACCUAUGUGUGGAGGAAAAUAAUAGAAAUAAAAUAUCUAAAUAUCUAUGCUAC
Molecule: long non-coding RNA, 532 nt
Organism: Cercocebus atys (sooty mangabey)
Lineage: Eukaryota; Metazoa; Chordata; Mammalia; Primates; Cercopithecidae
Exons: 3
Source: RefSeq, a predicted model, not a curated record